Molecule: long non-coding RNA, 294 nt
Filed under: Solanum tuberosum (potato)
Lineage: Eukaryota; Viridiplantae; Streptophyta; Magnoliopsida; Solanales; Solanaceae
Description: long non-coding RNA (STUB_LNC000884)
Source: RNAcentral
AAUCAUGGUGACAAUAUUGUUUACUCUUCACAAAAUUUUGGAGUGCAUAGUCUUUUCAAUUAAGGAAAAAUGACCUUUAGCUGAUAUUUUGUACUGACAUCAUGUUGCUAUGUAUGUCUAAUUACAUAGCAACUAUGCUUACUGCAAUUUUGUUUGGUAUACAAUAUUACUUUUCCUUUAGCUUAACUCGUGUCACCAACUAAAUAGUUUCAUUUUAGCAAUUGUAAACAUCAUUAAAUAGCUGCAAUAACUAUGUUGCUUUACUCAUGUCUGAAACAACCUAAUGAGGUUAUG